RNAcentral lists this long non-coding RNA (5756 nucleotides) under Populus tremula. RNAcentral describes it as "long non-coding RNA (PTRE_LNC000950)". Lineage: Eukaryota; Viridiplantae; Streptophyta; Magnoliopsida; Malpighiales; Salicaceae. The record is from RNAcentral.
CCAACAAACCAUGGGAACCUGAUGCCCUAGAAGAUGCCCUUUGCAAAUUCACACCAAAGGCCUCCCCAAAGUCAUCGUGAAGAACCAAAACACCUCCAGAUGCCUUUGCAAGCGGCUGCAAAACUGGAAUUCUAACAGGGCAAGUUCCAGCACACAGAAUGUCAACUACUGUAUUAUUUCUAUGCGCUUCGCGGCCCAGGUUCUCCAUCCAUUUCAAGGCUGUUUUUUCCAGAUGAGGAUAAUUUGGGUGGCUAAAAGAAUGAGGAACUGAUCCAGGGCCAUAUGUAUUAGGCCCGCCAGCACACACGAUGAUCCUGCUAUUGCCUCCAUUCCUUUUAACUACACCUCGGGACAUUUCUGCUGAUGGUCCUCGAAUUAUAGCCAGAGCAACCUCAACUGCAGUACCCAGGCACCGAUCUCUUAAAGCUUCUGCAAUGUUUGAUUUAUACGGUCUCAAAGAUGAGAAUAUUUUGUGCGCUACUUCCUUUGAAGCAUGCAUCGGUGACAAGUACACCAGUUCCGUAGAUCAAUGCUUUCAAGGACUCUUGGAUAGGUGAUUUGUCACCAGGAAGUACAUCAGCAGAUGCCAUUGAUUCCUCUGAAAAAUCAUAAACUGACACUGUACGACCAUAAAGUAUUAUUCCAAUUCUUGCUGUAGGGGGGAGUGAGUGAAUCCGCAAAUGCAUGCAAAGAGCUUUGUAAAUGCUGCAGGUGGGGUUCAUCUAAACAGUCAUCUAUAACAAGUACAACGGGUGCAGACAUUCUGGAAUCAGAAACAGGAAUAAAACCAGGUCUCUUGUUCCCAGUUUGAACAUAAUCAACAAUGGGAGAUGAAAGUUCUGGAAAGUUGCGAAGAUCUUCUUUGCUUGGAGCUACAUAUUCACCUUCACUUCCAUUCAGUAUCUGGCAAAUCACACAUUGCCACUGGCCUGAACCAAGUAAUAUCUUGCAAUAAAGAUUUGCAUAAGCUCCACAAUUGUGGCAACGAUGAGGAUCGCGCUGUAAUAUUUGAGGACCUGGAAAAAUCUCUCUCCCGGGAGAAAAUAAUGCCCCAAAGCCCAAACUUGGAACAUUUGUUAGUUUCUUUUGCUUCAAGACCUAAUAACAAAAUGAACCGAGCUCGAGUUCAAUUGAAAAUUGCAACUCCAAUGUAAACAAAAAAAUCACAAGAUUCAAGGAUAUAUAUAGGUGAGGCAUUUGGAAAGAAAGGAUAAUCUGACAACAAUUUAUUAACCAAACAAAAAGGUGCUCUCAAAAUCACAACAACAAUCUCAUAAAAGACAGAAAAGAAAAAAAAUUCCCACAACAAUUGGUGCCUUCAGUUUGUACAGGAGAGAGAAUGAUAGAGAUACCUUGUGAGCAGAGAACAAAGCACAUGAUGAUUCAUUGACAAGUGUCGAGUCCUCUGUAGCAAGGGGAACUUGGUGCUGCAACUCAACUGAACCAUUUAAAAAAUGAGGAGGCGAGGAUGUUGGCAAUGUUGAGCCUGAUGAGAAAGCAAUUGGUUGAGGAGUUGCAGGAGAAGUCCGAAAAGGCACAGCAGCAGGCCGGACUGGCGAUUUAAAAACAGGAGGACCAGGGGGGGUGCUUAGAUGAGGAAGGGGGCUCCUAACCCCAUUGGCAGGUGACAACAAAUUUGGGUUCUGGAAAAAAGGGGAAGGGAUCUGAUCUUGUAGCAAUUUAGGAGGAGGAAAUCGAGGAGCUCCAGGUAACAUUGUAGCAGGAGGAGCUGAAUUUUUAUCUAGUUGAGGGGUUGAUGAGUCAGAGUUUGAGGGAGUAACAGUAGAAUAUCCAAGGGAAGGUGGUGGUGGAUUAGUCAUUGCAAUUCAAAGUUUCUCUAUCGAAUAAUCAAGAAUAACCUAGAAGCCAAAAUCAAACUCUAUAGAAAGCUACAGACAGUUGUAUCCCAGGGCCAAUUAUGACAAGAGAAUUCAAAGUGACAACUUUGAGACUGUCAAUUGAUUAUUGAUUGAAAUUCAAUUAAGAAUCAUAAACAAAACAGCCUACAAAGGUCUGAUACACCGGCAGCUCAAGAAUUGCAAUCCAAUCUCAAUAUUGAUGCGGAAGAAGAUACCGAAUGGGAUGACCUUGACAAACCAAAACCCCCAAGUAAAAUCUAAAACCCCAGAGCAAGAAAGGGCUUUGAUGCAAAUCCAGUUCAAGAAAUCCCCAGUAAAAUCAAGAACCCAACUAAAGAACCAAAAUUAUCAGCUUCAGAGAUCAAAUUGAAUGCAAGAAAACCUGAUCUCUCCGCAUAAUUGGGCACCAAAAUCUUCCUCUCGCACAGACAUCUGAAAGAAAAGGAGACCAGUUAGAAUUCCACUUUGUGUCAAGAAAAAGGAUCUAGUUUUCUUCAGCAAAACAAAACCAAUAUUGAAUGAAAUUGAGACGAGGACAGUAGAAUCGACGUACCUGAGAGGGAAAGAAGGAAAAUUGAAAGAUUUGCAGAGUAAAUCUUCAGUCCCUUUUUUAAAAAUCUUAAUUAAAAAAUGGAAAUAUUUUCGAAGUGAUUUUAUAAUCUUUUUGGAUUCUGGGUCCUUUGUCCUCGCAAGCUAGGGAGCUCUCUCUCGUCUCCUGUUGUGUUCGAUUUUCCUUUUACACGAGAGGGAGAAGACAGCAACGUUGCAGUUUGGUCCACAUAAAGUCAACAGGCCAUUUUUUAAUUGUCUUUCUGUAACAGGAUGAAUCGCGAAUGAAGAUCUCCGAUGUCGUUCCAACCCUUCGUUAAAUUAAUUCAACUUCCUCCGAAUUACGGCCCUCGUUACUUUGCGCCUGCAAAGCCCCACUCUGUGAAUCGAAUAAAAAGAAAACACUAAAUUACAAAUUACGUUUACAAAAUAUUAUAAUAAAACUUUAUCAAUAAGAUAAAUUUACACGUUUAUAUAAAAAAAUUAUCUAUUUAUUUUUUUAUUAUCAUCAUCAUUAUUUUUAUUUUAUUUUUAAAAUGAUUUAGGAAAAAAAACGUUAAGGUAAAUAUUUUAAAAAUAUUAGUUCUAACAUUAAUUUUUUUUUAUUAGAGUGAAUCAGGAAUUGAACUCUAAAUUACUUUCAUAUUAUUUGGAUCUCCUUUGGGAACUGCAAAUGGAAAACUUCACGAAGAAUCAUGCCUGAAAGAGGCGGAGCAAAGGAGAUCCGACAUGCCAUCAAAAUAACGGUGAAGAUGGGACAAAACCAGGAAGGCUUUAUUGCUCAUCCAAAGCAUUUCAACCGGGAAACAGUAUAGGACGGGGACCACUUCAAACCUUUUCAAGUGACGGUGAGUACAGAUGUUUUCUUUGUGAAAAAAAAAUAUUAAGGAUGAGAUCAUAGCCGCCGAAGACACCAUCCAGGUUACACCCCCUCGACCACGGAAAGAACAAAAAAAUAGAGACGGGAGAAGAUGGGUUUCCACGGGCGAGGCAGGAUGCAGUUCCCAAGACUCCCUUUUCUUGGAAGUACAUUAGCAAUUAAAUAAUGUAAAACUACAAAUUAACUUGGUUCUGGGGGCACCACUUUCAGACUCCGCAUCCACUCGCAGAAACUUGGAUCAUCAAAGUGAAUAAAGCUGCUUUUUAGCUUUGUUCGUUGUUCUGUUGUCAGAGAUCGAAGCUGCGGGAAUCUUGCCUCCUGCAAUCAAGUUCCAUCAAUUUGGUAAAAAUCCAACACUAUAAGCCUACUAAUAUUAUUGACCAAGAGCUUAUUUUUCUCUUUUCCACCAUAACCUGUUCAUAAGGUGGGUCCUUGUGUGCAGGUAUCAGCCGAGAAACAAAAUAUCUAGCUUGAGAGCUUCCCUCCUGUCAUUAACCCAAACCAACAAGUUGAUCAGUUCGGCCACAAAAGGAAAAAACUUAGGACAAAGGUGCACAGAAAUGGAUUGCAAAGAAUCAAGGGAAGAAAAACCUUGAAUGCAAGGAUUCUAGGUGCUGGAAACCGCAAUUCAGUUAUCUCUUCAGCUAAUGUUCUGCAGGCAGCUAAAGCAGCUGCACUUCUUCCUUCAUCAGCGGCUAGCUCAGCACCCUGUAGUUAGCAGUUAUUGAGAAAGUAUCUUUGUAUAUCAGGACAUAAAUGCCAGCUGACACAGAAAGAAACUCGAGAUAUAGACUAGCGGACUCAAACCAACACUAGUUUGGUAUAUGCAUGUCCAUAGCAAUCAGAUAUCCUCUCAGAAACAGGCAGUCGUGGUGAGGAAAAUUAACAUAAAAGCUGCCAGCUGAAAAUAUAGAAAUUGAUAUUUAAGCGGAAGACUGGCAUCAUUAGAGUUACUAGCACGCUUCUUACCUUCAAUCUAUUACUUCAGAAUUAGAAAAAAAUGCCUCUAAAUUUCUUUUUUUAUUGAAUCACAAAAGGAUUCCUUUUUCUGAAACAAUUAUAAGCAGGGAAGCAAUAAAUGUUUUCCCUUUGUUUCACCUAUCAAUAUUUCUGCCAGGAAAUGUCAUGCUUGAAUGUUUUUCCAUCACCUGAAAUUAGAUCAUUACAUAAACCAUAGCACAGACAAGUGUUUGUCCCCUCCCUAUAUCUGCAAUAAAUUCUUGAAUUUCCUUCCCGGUCAAAAACUUUAAUAGAAAAUACCGACUUUUUUAUCCAUGACACAAAAGUGCUCACAAACCAUGCAAAAACAGACAGCAGACACACCCACAGUUGAAGAUGCUCAGUUCAUGAGAAACGCAGGGGAAAUAAACAUACAAAAUAAAAAUAUUCAAUAAUUAGCAAUAUCAGGGAAUUGCAAAAGGAUGCCAACAUAAAACAGCAAGAAGAAAAGUCAAGUCACUUACCAACCAAAUGAAGACAUCUGUACCAUGGUCAAGAACAACAGCUGUAUCAGACUGCAUCGCAAGGUCAUAAGCUGGAAGUUCCUCAAAAGUGCCCCCUUCCCGGUGCAUUAGACAACGAGGUGCCACCAUACGGAGUGAAAGAUCAAAAGAUGCAUUCAAAAAUAAAUUCCGCAGCACAGACCUCUCAUCUUCAUGACCAACAAUGCUUCCCAAAAGAGGGCCCCGUCUAAGAUGGAAAAGGAGCUCUGGUAAUGCAGAGAGUUCUUUAGGAAAUCGAUGAAGUUUUGACUUGGGUACUAGGGACCCAAAUUUUAAAGCAAUGUCUUUAAUUCUUUCAUCUAUUGUUCCACGCAUAUCCAUGGCAUCUGAAUGGUUUUUGGCUCGCAAGAGGGUUCUCUUGGCCAUCAGGAUUGCAGCCACUUCAUCUUGAAAACUUUCAAGAUAUGCUGAAACACUAUCCACAGUAGGCAACCUGACAGUAACCACUCUUGAAAUAUCAGCUUGAUAAACGUUUGUGUAUUGAACAGUAAACUGGAAAAAUACACAAUCGCUCUUGAUGUCUCCUUUAGUUUCCAUAGAGAUUGCAAAGCUUUGGGUUUCUUCAACACUUAGCAUUUGAAUGCAGAGCGCAUUGUCAUUCUUGAAAGUUUCAUGUGUGUCUACAUGCGCUUCUUCACCAGGACCCACAACUUGAGUAAUUAAAAUAUCAUCAGAACAUCGAAUCUCCAACAAACCAUGGGAACCUGAUGCCCUAGAAGAUGCCCUUUGCAAAUUCACACCAAAGGCCUCCCCAAAGUCAUCGUGAAGAACCAAAACACCUCCAGAUGCCUUUGCAAGCGGCUGCAAAACUGGAAUUCUAACAGGGCAAGUUCCAGCACACAGAAUGUCAACUACUGUAUUAUUUCUAUGCGCUUCGCGGCCCAGGUUCUCCAUCCAUUUCAAGGCUGUUUUUUCCAGAUGAGGAUAAUUUGGGUGGCUAAAAGAAUGAGGAACUGAUCCAGGGCC